RNAcentral lists this transfer RNA (86 nucleotides) under Felis catus (domestic cat). It matches the Rfam family "tRNA". Rfam says of the family: Transfer RNA (tRNA) molecules are approximately 80 nucleotides in length. Their secondary structure includes four short double-helical elements and three loops (D, anti-codon, and T loops). Lineage: Eukaryota; Metazoa; Chordata; Mammalia; Carnivora; Felidae. The record is from Rfam by way of RNAcentral.
GCCGGGGUAGCUCAGUCGGUCGAGUGUCUGACUUUGGCUCAGGUCAUGAUCUCAACGGCUCAUGGGUUCGAGCCCCGUGUCAGGCU